UAAGAGUUACUGUUGUUUAUUUUUCUUCCAAAACAACGCAGCCAUAGAACCAUUAUUCCCUCCUCUUCCUUGCUUGCUGUGGCCACUAUCCAGGAUACUAUUGAGAAUUUCAGUGUGAAUUUAGGGUGCACUGAGCUGAGAAGGCCUUUUGCAUUCACCCUGUCUGGGGAAUCCAGACAGUUGAGUCUCUCAAAGAAAAGCAAGUUUGCUUCAUGCAAGGAAUCCUAAGGAAGAGUGGCUUUCAAAUAAGCAAAAUGGCAUAUAUUUAAAGCUACAUUUAAUAUCAGAUUUUUUUUAAGAGAGUCUGGUUCCCAGAAUUCAAAUAGAAUGUCAAAGUAAUGUACUACCAUGGAUUUCAAUGGGAGGUUAAGUGCUUUUUGAAACUAAAUUGCAUUAAGUACUUACCUGCAUCAUCUUAAAAUAAAAAAACACGUCAACUCUAAGAGGUCGUUACUUUGCAGACAUUCCAAUUGACUUACAAAACGACCUCCUUAACAAGCCCAGCUGGAAGUGAUUCAGUCCAGCUGGUGGUAAUACGGAUCAGCUACCUCCAGUUUCUUGGGGUGUGCUUGCUGCUAGCUGGGUUUCCUUUGCUCUGAUGGACCCUUUGGGUAUGGAGAGCUAUCUUAGGUGUGAUGAUUAGAUUACCCUGACUAGCAAGGGCUUCUUUACAUAUGCAAGGCUUGUUCCUGAUGAAGAUAGGGGCAGUUCUUGUUGUUGAGUUUUCUGUCAGAGGAGAUUAAUUAUUUCAUUCUGACUUAAUAAAUGGCACGGUUAGUGCUGAUGAAAUGAAAUUGUAGUGAAAUGAGGUCGAUAGUCUGCUUUUGAAUGGUGUAGCACUAGAUCAGAGUUCAUCUAUUAAAACCUUGACUCUGAAUGAUCAACUGAUGUACAGGAUUUUUGCACCAUGCUUUGUCCUGCGAAGAUUUCACCGCUAUUUUUCAAGGACAUGACUGCUGUUUUUGUGUUGGGUUUUCAGCUCACAAAGGAUCACCACUUGUAGAGGAACAAAGAUCACCUAAUUCAACUGUUUACAGGUGUACCUGGCACCACUCCCAACGUACAAGGUGGGGAGCAUUUGACUUCAGCAGGACUAAUAAUCUGAAGGCAUGUUUCUUCUUAUAAGUGAUCUUGUUUAAAUAAGCUGUGUUUGACAGAGAAGGCUACAGUGUACUCCUGUGUGUUUCCCAAGAUUGCACAAAGAUGUCAGGGCUAUUUCCAUUUUCUCCGGUUAGGUUAGUUUCAAGGAGUUACAAGCAUUAACAUCUCCUUUGCUUUAAGAGCCCUGGCAAGGAUUUCUGCUUCUCUCCCACUCCCAUACUUUUAAUCAUACAUUAGGCUCUGGGAAGACUAUAAACUGCUGCACUAUAAUGCUGCACUAAUACAACAAAUUGAUAGUAUCCCUGAGUUACCUAUGACAGAGAGAGAAGUCAGCAUGGUGUACUGACUUGUGGAACAUUCAGCUGUGUUGAUGUCAUCUAUACUAACUAGAUUGAGGAAAGGGACAUCUUCACUAAAGAUACAGAUAACUUUGAGGUAUGCAAAGAAGAGCAAAAAGAAAGAGAAUAAAGCUGAAUGAGCUUGCUGAGUGGGGUAUACAGCUUUUAAACAUAGGAAUUAAUACAUUUUUCAAUGGUUAGUUUCAAGAAAAUAAAAUGUUGGAUGCAUGUCAGAAAUAUGCUUGUAUUUUUCCCUAGAGAUAAGAACUCUGCCAGAAACUUAACCAAAUAUAUUUCACUUUUUGUCUAUUGUUUUGAACUCUUCCAUACUACAUUCAGACCAGGAAGGUCAUCCAUAAGCAGUGAAGCACUUGUCAUGCUGUUAAAUAGUAACAUGUACUGGGAAAGGUGCUUUAUCUGGAUUAUUGGAAUCCUAGCUAAAACCGGACUGUUCUUUCUUUAUCUGUUUAACAGUCAUAAAAUCUUCUGACAGAUACAUAAAUUACUAAGUCUCUUGAAAAAACUGUCUUGUUUUGUUCAAAGAUCUUUUGCUGACUGCUUCCAAUCCAAGGUGUUCCUAUGCUGAUAGCAUCUUGUUCUCCUAAAUGAAUUUCUUGUAAAAAGUUGGUGUCAGCUUUUUCUGUUUCAACAAUUUUUUUGUAGUCAUAACUUUCAGCCAUUUAUGUUCCACAUUACAAAUUCAAUUAUUUUAUUUGCCAUCAUUCACCUCUGUAAUAUUUGACCAUUUGAUAUACCAUGCAAUGUCAUUGUGAAGAUUUAGCGUAACUAUAAAGAGACCAGCAUAUUCUGAAGCUAUUUGUUUGGAGAUGUUGAUUUUUUCAGAGUAGUUAAUACAUCAGUAUAACACUUAGAAACAUAGUUGAACGUUUUGCAUAUUUUGACACUUUAUUUUUCUA
Non-coding RNA from Meleagris gallopavo (turkey), 2356 nucleotides. Lineage: Eukaryota; Metazoa; Chordata; Aves; Galliformes; Phasianidae. The record is from RefSeq and is a predicted model, not a curated record.